This 254-nucleotide ribosomal RNA is filed under the name uncultured bacterium. Its description in RNAcentral is "partial 16S ribosomal RNA". It matches the Rfam family "Bacterial small subunit ribosomal RNA", at positions 524 to 776 of the family's 1533-position model. The record is from RNAcentral.
UACGUAGGGUGCAAGCGUUAAUCGGAAUUACUGGGCGUAAAGCGUGCGCAGGCGGUUUUGUAAGUCUGUCGUGAAAUCCUCGGGCUCAACCUGAGAAUUGCGAUGGAGACUGCAAGGCUAGAAUCUGGCAGAGGGGGGUAGAAUUCCACGGUGUAGCAGUGAAAUGCGUAGAGAUGUGGAGGAACACCGAUGGCGAAGGCAGCCCCCUGGGUCAAGAUUGACGCUCAUGCACGAAAGCGUGGGGAGCAAACAGG